This 253-nucleotide ribosomal RNA is filed under the name uncultured bacterium. RNAcentral's name for it is "partial 16S ribosomal RNA". It matches the Rfam family "Bacterial small subunit ribosomal RNA", at positions 524 to 776 of the family's 1533-position model. The record is from RNAcentral.
UACAGAGGGGGCAAGCGUUGUUCGGAAUUACUGGGCGUAAAGGGCUCGUAGGCGGCCAACUAAGUCAGACGUGAAAUCCCUCGGCUUAACCGGGGAACUGCGUCUGAUACUGGAUGGCUUGAGGUUGGGAGAGGGAUGCGGAAUUCCAGGUGUAGCGGUGAAAUGCGUAGAUAUCUGGAGGAACACCGGUGGCGAAGGCGGCAUCCUGGACCAAUUCUGACGCUGAGGAGCGAAAGCCAGGGGAGCAAACGGG